CCAAAGUGCGUAACUAAGCCUGGGACCUCACAAAUAAGUCUCUUCCCUAAUGGCCACCUGAUUUUCAUCAGACUUGCCCUGGUUUCCUAAGCCUUUGGGCUGAUAACUGUGUUUACAGCUUGUUAAAUAUGUGCCUCAUUUAUUCUUUCCCGGAUCCACAUUCAUUCUUGGGAAGCUCUCAGUGGCAUUUGUGGAGACCACAGCCCAGAGCCCUCCUGGACAGGAUCACCGGGCAGACUCUUGGCCAGAGGGCAGAGGACUUCUGUGUGUAAAUGACUCUAAUUCCCAUGAUAUUAAUAGAUUAUAUUUUCAGGGUCUGUCUUGAGUGGCCCAUUCUCUGUAGGGGAUAAUGGUUUUUAGAAAAGAACUUUUCUGGAUGUAACAAUGAAGGUUACAUUGAGGAGAACGACAAAUGGCUCAUUUAUAAAAAUGCUGCUGGCUGUGUGAAUGUAUCAAUUCUAGCUAAUCUCACAGUAAAGAAUUUGUCCAGGGACUCCUGCUGGUGGAGGAGUUGCCUGUGUUGAAUGCUAAGUGAGGUCUCAAAAAGGAGCUGUGCGUGCCUUGUGGGGGUCUGGGCAGCUACCACAUCAUUCUGGAAUUCUCCUGCCUCUGUCAAGGAGCCUGAAUAAACGUGGAUGCUAUCACCUCUA
Long non-coding RNA from Homo sapiens (human), 650 nucleotides. NCBI's taxonomy places the organism in Eukaryota, Metazoa, Chordata, Mammalia, Primates, Hominidae. The record is from Ensembl.